UUCAGAUUCAUGUAUCUAUGUACUCUUGCCACAUUUAGAUUCAUGUAUCGUUUGCGAUCGAUAGAGUUGCAACGUUUUCUCUUAGAUUAUAUGGCUUCCUCUCUUGCUCGGGUGCGAUUUGAAAUUACAGAAGAAUUUUUAGUAUUUCGGUGGUUAACGAUCUUUGAUUCCCUUUUCUCAGACGCGCGUUUCAUUCCAAGUAGGGGAUACCUUUUAUCUUAGAUCUUCCUUUGGCCCCAUUGAUUUCAAAUCGUUUGAAUUAAUAUGGAUGAUCUCUCCGUCAUCGCAUUCUUCCCCAGUUGGCUGUUUUUACCAGCUUCGACUCAGCGGAGAUUGAGGUUAAACAAGGUAGGAGAAGAGUUCUCUGUGAAAUUUAUGCAGAGUGGCCAAAAGGUAUUACUUCUUUCUUAUUUUUAUCCAUUCGUCUUCUCAGGUAUUAUUAUUAUAGAAGUUGUUUUGUUUCCUUUUGAAGUGGAUUAGAUUCCUGGUUGCAUAUACGUUAUGGGUAAAUGCUAUCUUUAGAGACUCUCAGGUGCCUUUUAUUGUCAGUGGUUGAGUUUGGCUCACUCAUAUUGAUACAAAAGCUUUUUAUAAGUAGGUAUAUGGAAACACUUGAAAAGAGAUGUCAUACUUAUUUAUAAAUAAUUUUUAAUACAUCAAGGUCGAGGGCAAACAGAGACGUGCAUAUAUAUAUGCAGACUACUAAGUGUCGCAUAGGUAACAUGUCGUCUUAGCAACAACGGAAGAAGACAACAAAGGAAAGAAAGCAGAAUUCCCCAAUGGGCUUUGGGGGGAAACCAAGCGAGUGUCAUCCCGGCAAACAAACCAUCCAAGCCACCCCCGGAACUCGGUGAAAAAGGUCCAUGUUUUCUAUUUCAAAGAACUACGUAUGAUAUGGGACUCUCUAUCUACUGUCUGACUUUCGGCAUCUUUAUUUACGAGGAAUUGCUAAGUAGGUUGGAAUUGGUUUCAGUUCGUGUAGAUGACCCUCCUUGUUACAUCCAGUAUUUUGCAACAGAAUUCUUCAAUGCAAAAUAUUGUAUUUGACAUUUAUUUACAUUUUCCACCGACUGUACGUAGUAGUUGAUAACUUCAACUUAUAUUACAUAUUUGAUUCGUAGAAUCUGAAUGCAGAUAUAUAAUUUUAAGUCUAGGUUUUGUGGUGUUUUAUGCGAUUACAUUGUUCCUAAUAUUCGCAGACGCAGUUCUCUCAACUGUUCAAACAUUAGUUUCUACUGCACUUUAUCGAAUUAUACACUCUAUCAUUAAGGGUCAGCCUUUACUGAUUAUUGGAGUUGCAGAGCCAACUGUGAUUAUAUACACAUUCAUGUUCAACUUUGCUAAAAAAAAAUCAGUUUUGGGCUCAAAGCUCUUCCUUGCAUGGACUGGAUGGUAUUUUCUUGCAGGAGUUCUCUUCCCUUAAAAUGAUUCUGUGAGACAAUACAUUCUACCCAACUUCUUCAAAGGAGUGCAUCGCCAGUAAUUAAAUGUUUCAGAGUAUGAAGAAGCACCAGCUUUACUAGUCAACCUAUCAACUGAGGCGGAGUUUAGUAGGACAGCUCCAUUUGCCAAUGAUGGUGAAUUUUGGAUGGGAUCGGGACGCGAAGGAGGCGAAGAUCCUCUGAUGCAGCACCAGAAGGCGAAGCACCUUUCAAGUGCCGUGACUGCCAUAACUGCCAGUGGAAUGGGUACCCACGUCCUUCUGGUACACAAAGAGAAUGUCACCAAGUAAUCCCUGCUCUCCUAAGACCAUGAUCUUUCUGUAAUUUUAUAUACACAAAAACAGCUCUUUAUCAUAGAUACUGUAUUGAUCUGUUGGUGGUUUUAUUGUGCGGUGUAUACUGCUUAUGUAUCUAAUUCAUAUGUGAAAACCAUUGAUAAAAUUGGUAUACACUGGUUGUCGAAUCCUAUAGACAUUUCAAUGGAUGAUCAUUGUUCAAUUAGGAAUUUAGAGGAAUGUGGAUUUUAUUUUACGAAA
This is a long non-coding RNA of Tripterygium wilfordii, 1978 nucleotides long. RefSeq lists it as uncharacterized. NCBI's taxonomy places the organism in Eukaryota, Viridiplantae, Streptophyta, Magnoliopsida, Celastrales, Celastraceae. The transcript is spliced from 3 exons. The record is from RefSeq and is a predicted model, not a curated record.